Molecule: RNA transcript, 1269 nt
Organism: Brassica oleracea var. oleracea
Lineage: Eukaryota; Viridiplantae; Streptophyta; Magnoliopsida; Brassicales; Brassicaceae
Exons: 5
Source: RefSeq, a predicted model, not a curated record
AGUUAAAACGCUGUGUUUAAUCUAGACGGAAAAAUUAUUUCAUUUUCCGGCAAAGACCUAGCAAAAAUUAUUUCACUCUCCCUCCCAAAUUCUCGAAAUUCACAACCAAAAUUUUCUUAAUUCUUUCAUAUUCUUCUUCUCUCAAUACAAUAUUUUCUUAAUCUUUUUUUCUCAACCAUUUUCAUAUUCUUCUUCUUUCAUUUUCUCAACCUAAUUUAAAAACAACGGAGGAGAAAUCAAGGCCAAGAAUCUUGGCCGUAGCCGGCUCCAAUUUCGAGCACUCCCCUCUCUCACAGCUACGGUAGCUCACUUCUUCGAUUCUCCACUUUGAAAUCUCUCCUCUCUUGUAUAUCUCCUCCGAUUCAACAUCUCCAGCUGCUCAUAUAUAGUCUCUUCAGUUCUCUCUGGCUAUCGAUCUCCUCAAACAAAAGACGAAGCUUGUUUGAAUCUAUGUCUUUGUAGAUAGUUUAUUGUGUUCCUACGCGAGUGUUUCAUUUGGCAGGCAUUGAUUACACUGAAGAUCUUGUGACCUAUAAUGCUGCUGACCACAAGGUUGAACAAGCAUUGGUUACACUGAAGAAGGGCUUUCAGCUUUUGAUAUAUGGUCGCAAAGGAAAGGCAAAGUAAAAUCCUUUUAGACUGUCUAGUCGUUUUCUGUUGUAUCUGAGAAAAGUAUUCUCGUUGGUGUUGGUUUUCAAGGAUGAUAAGCCUUUGAUCUGGAUAUCUAGUAGCAGUGAAAAGCGUAAGUUAGCUUAUGUAUCUAAAGUUGUACCUGGAAAAAACAAUGCCUUGCAAAUCUCUUAGUUACAGGAAAUGCGCGGGGCAAAUGACAAUCAAGCAAGAUACCUCGUUUGCGGACUCCCAGCAAACGGAAUCAAACCACAGCUCCAUCAACAGCCACAACAAGAAGCAGAUGAUGAUCAAGGAAGUGAUGUGGAGGAGAUCACACGAGUAGAGUUCAGACUCUCCAUGGGAUACUUCAUACGUGUUGAGGAAGCAGAAGAAGACAUCGAUCCUAUGUUCCGGAGAGUUGUCCAAAAACUCAAAGACAAUGCACGCCCAAAACGAGAACAAGGAGAGUCCUCACGAGGCAAGUCUCAUCGCCGAGACUAAGCCAUCAUACCAACACUUUCAUGUGAGAUAGAGAUCAAAAUAAAUUGAGAUGUUUGCUUGUAGUUGUUUCAUCUCACUUUAUUUUUCACUGGUGAUUACAUUUAUGAUUUUCCUUUGACGUUGAAUGAAAACUCCGAGAACAGGGGAACUGGAAUG